GAUGAACGCUGGCGGCGUGCUUAACACAUGCAAGUCGAACGGAAAGGCCCAAGCUUGCUUGGGUACUCGAGUGGCGAACGGGUGAGUAACACGUGGGUGAUCUGCCCUGCACUUCGGGAUAAGCCUGGGAAACUGGGUCUAAUACCGGAUAGGACCACGUCUUGGAUGUUGUGGUGGAAAGUUUUUUCGGUGUGGGAUGAGCUCGCGGCCUAUCAGCUUGUUGGUGGGGUAAUGGCCUACCAAGGCGUCGACGGGUAGCCGGCCUGAGAGGGUGUACGGCCACAUUGGGACUGGGAUACGGCCCAGACUCCUACGGGAGGCAGCAGUGGGGAAUAUUGCACAAUGGGGGCAAGCCUGAUGCAGCGACGCUGCGUGGGGGAUGACGGCCUUCGGGUUGUAAACUCCUUUCGCUAGGGACGAAGCGUUUUUGUGACGGUACCUGGAGAAGAAGCACCGGCUAACUACGUG
RNAcentral lists this ribosomal RNA (468 nucleotides) under uncultured bacterium. RNAcentral describes it as "partial 16S ribosomal RNA". It matches the Rfam family "Bacterial small subunit ribosomal RNA", at positions 28 to 507 of the family's 1533-position model. The record is from RNAcentral.